This 217-nucleotide ribosomal RNA is filed under the name uncultured bacterium. RNAcentral describes it as "partial 16S ribosomal RNA". It matches the Rfam family "Bacterial small subunit ribosomal RNA", at positions 1284 to 1500 of the family's 1533-position model. The record is from RNAcentral.
CGUCUCAGUUCGGAUUGCAGGCUGCAACUCGCCUGUAUGAAGUCGGAAUUGCUAGUAAUCGCGGAUCAGCAUGCCGCGGUGAAUACGUUCCCGGGCCUUGUACACACCGCCCGUCACACCAUGAGAGCCGGGAACACCCGAAGUCCGUAGUCUAACCGUAAGGAGGACGCGGCCGAAGGUGGGUUUGGUAAUUGGGGUGAAGUCGUAACAAGGUAAC